RNAcentral lists this ribosomal RNA (437 nucleotides) under uncultured bacterium. RNAcentral's name for it is "partial 16S ribosomal RNA". It matches the Rfam family "Bacterial small subunit ribosomal RNA", at positions 31 to 507 of the family's 1533-position model. The record is from RNAcentral.
AGAGAAGGCGGGCGGCAGGCUUAACACAUGCAAGUCGAGCGGGCAUCCUUGUGGUGUCAGCGGCAGACGGGUGAGUAACGCGUGGGAACGUGCCCUUCGGUUCGGAAUAACUCAGGGAAACUUGAGCUAAUACCGGAUACGUGCGAGAGCAGAAAGGUUUAUCUGCCGAAGGAUCGGCCCGCGUCUGAUUAGCUAGUUGGUGAGGUUAUGGCUCACCAAGGCGACGAUCAGUAGCUGGUCUGAGAGGAUGAUCAGCCACACUGGGACUGAGACACGGCCCAGACUCCUACGGGAGGCAGCAGUGGGGAAUAUUGGACAAUGGGGGCAACCCUGAUCCAGCCAUGCCGCGUGAGUGAUGACGGCCUUAGGGUUGUAAAGCUCUUUUCUCCGGGACGAUAAUGACGGUACCGGAGGAAUAAGCCCCGGCUAACUUCGUG